Molecule: ribosomal RNA, 448 nt
Filed under: uncultured Alphaproteobacteria bacterium
Lineage: Bacteria; Pseudomonadati; Pseudomonadota; Alphaproteobacteria
Description: bacterial SSU rRNA
Rfam family: Bacterial small subunit ribosomal RNA
Source: RNAcentral
UACGGGGGGCAGCAGUGGGGAAUAUUGGACAAUGGGCGAAAGCCUGAUCCAGCAAUGCCGCGUGGGUGAAGAAGGUCUUCGGAUUGUAAAGCCCUUUCGGCGGGGACGAUGAUGACGGUACCCGCAGAAGAAGCCCCGGCUAACUUCGUGCCAGCAGCCGCGGUAAUACGAAGGGGGCUAGCGUUGCUCGGAUUGACUGGGCGUAAAGGGCGCGUAGGCGGUCUGUACAGUCAGACGUGAAAUUCCUGGGCUCAACCUGGGGGCUGCGUUUGAUACGUGCAGACUCGAGUCCGGAAGAGGGUCGUGGAAUUCCCAGUGUAGAGGUGAAAUUCGUAGAUAUUGGGAAGAACACCGGUGGCGAAGGCGGCGACCUGGUCCGGAACUGACGCUGAGGCGCGAAAGCGUGGGGAGCAAACAGGAUUAGAUACCCCAGUAGUCAUCUUCUAGA